UACGAGGGGGGCAAGCGUUGUUCGGAAUUAUUGGGCGUAAAGGGCGCGUAGGCGGUGCGGUAAGUCACCUGUGAAACUCUGGGCUCAACUCAGAGCCUGCAGGCGAAACUGCCGUGCUUGAGUGUGGGAGAGGUGCGUGGAAUUCCCGGUGUAGCGGUGAAAUGCGUAGAUAUCGAGAGGAACACCAGUGGCGAAGGCGAGUCUCUGGACGACUCCUGACACUGAGGCACGAAAGCUGGGGGAGCAAACAGG
This 252-nucleotide ribosomal RNA is filed under the name uncultured bacterium. Its description in RNAcentral is "partial 16S ribosomal RNA". It matches the Rfam family "Bacterial small subunit ribosomal RNA", at positions 524 to 776 of the family's 1533-position model. The record is from RNAcentral.